This 118-nucleotide ribosomal RNA is filed under the name Lepisosteus oculatus (spotted gar). Lineage: Eukaryota; Metazoa; Chordata; Actinopteri; Semionotiformes; Lepisosteidae. The record is from RNAcentral.
GCCAGCAGCCAUAUCACCCUGCAACUCCCAGCUGGCAGCCCACUAAAGCUAAGCAGGCGUGAGCCUGGUCAAUACCUGGAUGGGAGGCCUUCUGGGAAAGCUAAGGCUGCUGCUGGAA